Molecule: ribosomal RNA, 253 nt
Filed under: uncultured bacterium
Lineage: Bacteria
Description: partial 16S ribosomal RNA
Rfam family: Bacterial small subunit ribosomal RNA
Source: RNAcentral
UCCGGAGGGUGCAAUCGUUGUUCGGAAUUAUUGGGCGUAAAGCGCGUGUAGGCGGCUUCUUAAGUCUGGUGUGAAAGCCCGGGGCUCAACCCCGGAAGUGCACUGGAUACUGGGAAGCUAGAGGACGAGAGAGGAGAGCGGAAUUCCUGGUGUAGGGGUGAAAUCCGUAGAUAUCAGGAGGAACAUCGGAGGCGAAGGCGGCUCUCUGGCUCGUAUCUGACGCUGAGACGCGAAAGCGUGGGGAGAAAACAGG